AAGGAAAAGGACAAGAUUUUGGAUCAACCAACAAACCAUUCAGGUCUUUUCGAUUCAAUAUCUAUCGAACUUUCCUCUAGAAAUAUUUCCUUCAGGAAGAAAACUUUGAGAUGUUUUCGACAAAAUUUGUCCUCUUAGCGUUCCUUUUCCUAAUCUCAUCUCCUUCAUUAGCUUUUAAAAUAGCUGGGAAUGACGAGUUCCUAGGAAGUGGAGAUGGCAGUCACAAACAUAAAAGUCUUUCGGGUCAAUCCACUUUAGCUUGCUUUUGUGGACUAACAUCGUUCAAGUGUUGCAAGGAACGAGGGGUUUGGAAGAGAUUCGAAGCAUGGAAACAAAACAAUAGGCUGUUAUAAGGAAUAAAAGAAUAGGCGAAUGCAGAAAAAGGAGAUAAAAGAAGGCGAGCCAUUAAGGACGGAGGCGAUGAAAAUGUUUGAUCUUGCGAAUAUCUUCUACAAGACAAUGUUACAAGAAGCUAAGGCGCGUGAACUUAAAGGCUUGCUUUAAGAUGCUAUGGAUGUACUUUACUUUCCGCCGAUGCAAAGAAAUUUUAUCUUUUAGGUGAUACUGCUGGUGUGUUAUUUAAAUGAGGGCUGAAUCAAAACCAUACGUCAAUAAACAGAGAAAUGUAUAAAAA
This is a long non-coding RNA of Pocillopora damicornis (cauliflower coral), 634 nucleotides long. Lineage: Eukaryota; Metazoa; Cnidaria; Anthozoa; Scleractinia; Pocilloporidae. The record is from RefSeq and is a predicted model, not a curated record.